AAAAAGUCACUCAAAGGCAAAUUUAACUCAAUUUGUGAUGUAAUUUAUUUCAACCUCAUUUACUACGGCACGUAUAAGAUAAACGAUUUGGAGCAUCUACACUUAAGGAGGAGCCUACAAGGGGCAUGGAGGCGUAGAGUCUCAAUAUAAUGAGUUGAUACUCUUCUCUAAAAUGGAGGAAGAAAUAGAAGAUGGGUUGGAAGCAUCUCUAAUCCAUCUUCUAAUAUUCAUUUUAAAGUAUUGAGAGCUCAAACAAAUCCUCUAAACAUUCUUCUAUUUAAGAAGAUGAUCAUUUGAUACUCU
This 303-nucleotide long non-coding RNA is filed under the name Actinidia chinensis (golden kiwifruit). Its description in RNAcentral is "long non-coding RNA (ACHI_LNC000705)". The record is from RNAcentral. Lineage: Eukaryota; Viridiplantae; Streptophyta; Magnoliopsida; Ericales; Actinidiaceae.